GACGAACCGUGCGAACGUUGUUCGGAUUCACUGGGCUUAAAGGGCGCGUAGGCGGGCUUGUAAGUCAGGGGUGAAAUCCUCCGGCUCAACCGGAGAACAGCCUUUGAUACUGCAAGUCUCGAGGGAGAUAGGGGUCUGUGGAACUUCCGGUGGAGCGGUGAAAUGCGUAGAUAUCGGAAGGAACGCCGGUGGCGAAAGCGACGCGCUGGGCCCCUCCUGACGCUGAGGCGCGAAAGCCAGGGGAGCAAACGGG
This 253-nucleotide ribosomal RNA is filed under the name uncultured bacterium. RNAcentral describes it as "partial 16S ribosomal RNA". It matches the Rfam family "Bacterial small subunit ribosomal RNA", at positions 524 to 776 of the family's 1533-position model. The record is from RNAcentral.